This 584-nucleotide ribosomal RNA is filed under the name Fusarium cf. graminearum. RNAcentral's name for it is "eukaryotic LSU rRNA". The stretch from base 217 to 370 matches the Rfam family "5.8S ribosomal RNA". The record is from RNAcentral. Lineage: Eukaryota; Fungi; Ascomycota; Sordariomycetes; Hypocreales; Nectriaceae.
CUUGGUCAUUUAGAGGAAGUAAAAGUCGUAACAAGGUCUCCGUUGGUGAACCAGCGGAGGGAUCAUUACCGAGUUUACAACUCCCAAACCCCUGUGAACAUACCUUAUGUUGCCUCGGCGGAUCAGCCCGCGCCCCGUAAAAAGGGACGGCCCGCCGCAGGAACCCUAAACUCUGUUUUUAGUGGAACUUCUGAGUAUAAAAAACAAAUAAAUCAAAACUUUCAACAACGGAUCUCUUGGUUCUGGCAUCGAUGAAGAACGCAGCAAAAUGCGAUAAGUAAUGUGAAUUGCAGAAUUCAGUGAAUCAUCGAAUCUUUGAACGCACAUUGCGCCCGCCAGUAUUCUGGCGGGCAUGCCUGUUCGAGCGUCAUUUCAACCCUCAAGCCCAGCUUGGUGUUGGGAGCUGCAGUCCUGCUGCACUCCCCAAAUACAUUGGCGGUCACGUCGAGCUUCCAUAGCGUAGUAAUUUACACAUCGUUACUGGUAAUCGUCGCGGCCACGCCGUUAAACCCCAACUUCUGAAUGUUGACCUCGGAUCAGGUAGGAAUACCCGCUGAACUUAAGCAUAUCAAUAAGCGGAGGAA